Molecule: transfer RNA, 67 nt
Filed under: Ichthyosaura alpestris (Alpine newt)
Lineage: Eukaryota; Metazoa; Chordata; Amphibia; Caudata; Salamandridae
Description: tRNA-Thr
Rfam family: tRNA
About the family: Transfer RNA (tRNA) molecules are approximately 80 nucleotides in length. Their secondary structure includes four short double-helical elements and three loops (D, anti-codon, and T loops).
Source: RNAcentral
GCCCAGAUAGUUUAGAAAAACAUCGGUCUUGUAAGCCGAAGCCGAAGCCUAAUGCCUUCUCUGAGCA